Molecule: long non-coding RNA, 8558 nt
Organism: Clupea harengus (Atlantic herring)
Lineage: Eukaryota; Metazoa; Chordata; Actinopteri; Clupeiformes; Clupeidae
Source: Ensembl
AACAGCUUAAGAAAAAAAAAAAAAAGAGAAAUGAAGUAACAAUAUUAAUUGUGUCCACACGGACCUUUUUGAAUGUGACACCUGAAGUGAGAGUUGGACGUGAGAUGCACGUAGGUUGUACUGUGCGUGUCAGUAAAUUAAUAAAGCGUUGCCCAAUUGGGCUGUUAUAAAGUUAUUCUGUAGUCCUUUUAUGCGAAUAGGAGCAGAAUAAAACAGCUACUAUUGGAAAUGAUCAGCCCCCCUCCUUCAAACCCCACACCCUUGUUAGAGGGUUGCAUUUGUGAAAGUGAAAGUUAGCGCCCGCAACUUUUACCCACGACGCAUGUUUCGUGGAUUUAAGGAGUCGAAAGGGAAAAUCCUAUGCAUUCUUUAAAUUAAAACUGGGAUAUUACAGCUCUUGAUGCACGGAAUUACUUAUCGGAUAUGAUUCAAAAAUGCGUUUGGAUCUUGCUGCCUUGCGCGCAUUCUGCAGCAUUAUACAGAUGAUCUCCCUGACGACGUCUUUUCUCAUUUCAGUCACCUGCUUUUUACCAAGAAAACACAGAGGAAAGGUAUGUAGUGAACUAACAAGCCAGCGAUUGUCAUCUUUACAUCUUUAUGAUGCGCUAGUGUAUGACAACAUUGCUCCAAAGCCACAAAGCUUAUAUCAAAAGGCAUUAUGACAUCCAAAAUCUUCGUGUUUAGGCUAUACAAGUGCUGUCAGAGCGGCUCUGACAGUGUUGGGGUCCUGUAGGCUUUUAGAUUGUACACCAAAAAUCUGAGUGACAAGAAUUAUGGUGACAUUGUUACUGAUGUUGACGUAUACUUAGGGUGACCACACGUGUUGUUUACAUGUCAAAACACAUUCUCAUCACGUGUACAACACGUUCUUAACGUGUGAUCUCAGACAUCAAUUUCGUUAGACGCCAUAAUUCUAACCCAUUUGGCCAGCCGUCCACUCUGAACAGACAGGCUUGAGCUACUUGUGCCUCAGGAGUGCUGUGUGUCCGGCCCAGCUUUUGAGCAGCGAGCUAUCUGAGUGCCUUGCUGACAAGCGUUGAUGCUCAUAUCGAGGAAAUUCGUUCAAUGGUCCCUAAGAAGAAUGCCAUUGGCGACUCAGAUGUCAUGUUGUACACUCCAAAUUUAGAUAUUAUUGCAAAAGAACAAGGCUGCGAGUGCUUCUUCAUGAAGUGCUUCCUCAUGGAGCUACAGGUCUACCAGGCAGAAAAUGAGCUGGACUUCAAUACAACAAAAGACUACCUUAAACACAUAAAACAGGAUAUCAGAACCUGUUCACCAUGUGAGGCUCAACCUGCUGCCAAUAUUUCCACAUUCUUUACAAGUCUGAGUGAGACCUUGGAUCGCUAUAGUUCGGAGAACACUGAGUGCUUUGACUGACUCAAAGACUGCGCUUUAGUAACCAAAGGGAUUCUUGCUGAGUAUCUUCUGUGGUUAAAAUAAGCUAUAUUGUGAUACAAGUUGUUUAUUGGCAAUUCUAUAUGUAUAUGUGUAUUUGUAAUAGAUAGAUGGAUACUUUAUUAAUCCCGAGGGAAAUUUAGGUCAUCCAGUAGCUUAUACACUUAACUUAACUGUGUGUGAGGAUAGCGCAAAGUGAUAUAAAUAGUGAAGUCUGUGCAAGGGGCUAGUAUAGCCAGUAAAAGGAUGGACAGUGGGAUGGAAUAUAAUGAGAUGAGAAGAGGAGGGCAGACUGAGGUAGACUCAUGCAGAGAAGUCCAUCUCCCUGCCCCUCCCCUUCUGCAUGGCGUUAUAAAGCUGUAUGGCCCUGGGGACAAAGGACUUCCUCAGCCUGUCCGAUGAGCAUGACAGUGACAGGAGUCUGCCACUGAAUAUGCUCAUCUGUCCGUUGAGAGUUAUGUGUAGUGGGUGGUGGACAUUGUCCAAGAUGGUCAGCAACCUACUCAGGGUCCUUCUCUCCGCCACUGUUGUGAGACACUCUAGUUCAGUGCCAACAACAGCUAAUGAUACUUUGAAUGUAAAGACCACUAUGUUACAAGGCAUGGAAAGUCGCCUUACUCACUUAUCAAGGGUGCCUGCCUCUGAAGGGCCUCAGACAUGGGUGUGUUUGCCUUCUGUUUCUGUCAUGGAACUGAGAUAGCACUGGCGGGGAUGCACUGUAUUCAGAUCUAUUAGAGUAAAAUGAUGUCUGGGAAACUAGACUGCACUAUCUAGUACAUGUAUGUAUGUCUAUGUAAGUAUUUACGCAUAUGUGUGUGCUGCAUGAUUGAAACAAACUUUUAAGUGUGAGUGUCCGACAGAUACAGGAAGGAAGCCAUAGUUCACAAGGAGAGGUACUGUUGAGUAAGAACUGCUUCCACUUUCAGUGUACUGACUUGCUACAAUACUUUCACUUUCUAUAUUAAAUGUAGCAAUGACAAUGGCUUCGGUAUACAGUGUGAAGAAUCUGUCUGUAACAGCAGUUACAGCCAAAAGCCUAAACCAUAAGUUUGUUUUAAUCAUGCGUGUAGGCUUAAGGGGAACCAAUUAGUAGGUGCAGGGGACUCAUGAUCCCUAGUCUCAGGGAGCCAACACUACUGAGCUUGCUUAAUGGGGAGCUGGCCAGUUCAGUCCCCCAUAAAAAAACAACCCUACCCUACAAUUGCUCGCACCACUCCCUGAAAAAACAUCUCCGCUGUGGAGCUGCAAUCUGAGUUAUGAGAGACUGGCAAAGCGGAGGCGUCUAGACCCGGGACUCCAACAUUCGGCCCGCCCUCCUGGCGCUGCUGGCAUGACUGCAGAUGUCCUCACUGUCCUUAAGUCUCAGAACAUGCAAUGAACGCAGGAAGUCCAAGUGGCGCUCGGCUAGAAAAAGGAUCGGAGGCGUUCCAGAACCUCUCCCUGGACCUCCAGCUGUUCCUCUGCGCCCCACAACUCCCAGGGGUCCACAACUGUCACUUUUUUUUUGGUCCUGUUUUGAUGGAUCAUGGAACAGUUUGGUUGGUCAGUUCUCUCUUCCUUUCAGGGCCCCUCAAAUGCUACCGCUUUUAUAUCUCUGUGUCAGAGCCAAAUGUAUUUUAUUCUUUUCUUAAAUAAUGAUAUUCCUUUCUUUUUCGAAACAGCCACCUGUCUUUGUAGUUCAUUCAUUCAUUCAUUCAUUCAGUCAGCCAUCCAUUCAUUCAUUUGCUUGUGUCACAGUAUGUAUGCACUCUUGUGACCUGUGAGACCACUGAAGCCAACAGUAAAGUACACAAAACUAUUUACCAAACAAGUAUGAGUUUGAAUACUUGAUGCCUGAAUAAGAGAUGUUUCAGCAGCUUUUAUGGUAAAAAAAAAAAACAAUGUGAAAAAGUGCCAUUAUGGUGAAGCCACUGCAUCAGGCAAAACAAACGUACACCAACUUUGAAGCUUUGGGACCUUAUAAAGAAGACUAGUUUGGUUGUAGACAUAUAUGUGUGUAUGAAGUUAAAACUCCACUGUAAAACACUUUGAAGCUGUUUAAAAGUUAAUGGGCCUAUUUUGAAGGUGAAAACAGCCUAUUCUGCCCGGUCGAGUUGUCUAAACUCCAGCGAUAAACGAAACUUUUCUCCCCCGAGGCGUGGAUUUUGGAUAUAGGUGACAAGUUCUUCGUUGAUAGGUGUGACGGUAUGCAUGCCGACCGUCACGGCAGCGUUGCGCUGCCUCCAUUUACGGACAAUGUACAAGUGCAAAUGUUUGCCUCUGUGUGUUUUAUGUGUGUUUUCCGUGCCCGUAUGCAGUUUUUAUAUGUUUGGUAACCAUGUCAUUCAUCAUACACACCGUGAAUUAUAUUAGCGCAUUUGUCAACCAUUACACCUCUACAGUUUAAAUACAUCCUUACCCAUCGUUUUUUUCUGUUAUAAUAACCACACCAUACAAUGUCUUGACUCUUAAAUGUUCCGUUUAUUUAGUUUAAAAUCAUACAUCACAAUGUCAUAUUUCAUAGCAUUUGUCUUACGGUCAGUGUCUCGUCUUGUAUUUGUUUGUUCGUGUAAAGACGGUCUGCGCCUUAACGCAGAUUUAAAAAGACACUAACUUCUAUUAGGAAUUAAGUUUGGUAGCUGUUUAAGCCUAAUGGUUUUGCCUGCCGGAAACACCCCUGUAUAUUGCUGUAUAGGGGCCUGUGCAGGCACUAUUUAGGCUGGGCUCUUUAGUCUUCCCAGAGGGCUGCUGAUGGGUGGACGUAAGUCCUAGAGCUGUGUGAAUUUGCCUUUGACCUGUGAAUAUGCUUAUACUAGUCGACUGCUUAUUUGAUUCAUUGUUUUGACUAUCAUGUCAACUUUAUUUUUUGUAUUGUAAAGUAUUUUUUUGUUGUUAGUAUUUUCCUUGUUUUUACUGCCUUUUUGGCCAUCAUUGGGAAAAAUAAAGAUUCCCAUCAUCUAACCUAAACCUCCUAAGUACUCCUGAGAGUUUCUCCAUCUAGAGUUUCUCAACCGCUUUGAACACAUCUACCCUUAACAAUAGGUAACAUUUUAAUGCGCCAAUCACAAACCAUCACUACCCAAGCCUGAUUUAUCUAUCUGGCAAAUACUAUUUUCCCUUUAUUGGAAUAGUGGGGCAUUAUGCCUACAUAUUUUUGUUUUGGCAAGGAAGCGGGCUUCGGUUAAUGUACUUACUCUAUCUUGAAUGUCCCUGUACACAUAUCCUGGCAGGCUUUAAAAAAAUUAUUAAAUGUUUGUUUAAGGUCAAACACCUUGAAAGCGCCUGGUAAGUCAGCAGUAAACGAAUGUCAUACAUGAUGUAAAUAAUGACAUUUCAUGUUAUUUCUAUUCAAGUUUCAAGUUAGUCAUGUAGUAAAAAGGGCAUUUAUCAGUAAUGAAAUAUUCACAUACAACUCCACUUCAGACCACUUCAAAAUGAUCAGUUUCUCUAGUUUUACUAUUUAUUGGUAUGUGUUUGAGUAAAAUUAAAAAAAUGUUGUUUCAUUCUAUAAACUACUGACAACAUUUAUCCCAAAUUUUACAAACAAAUUAUUUGCAGAAAAUGGCAACUGGUCAAAAUAACAAAAAAGAUGUUUUCAGAAUCUAAGAAGAGUUCAGAAAUUUGGUGGAAUUACCUUGAUUUUCAAUCACAGCCUUCGUGUGUCUUGGCAUGCUCUCCAGCAGUCUUUCACAUUGCCGUUGUGUGACUUAAUGCCACUCCUGGUGCAAAAAUUCAAGCAGCUAGGCUUUGUUUGAUGGCUUGUGACCAUCCAUCUGGUGGUCUUUCAUCCACACCUUCACUGACCUGGCUGUGUGGCAUGUAGCAUUGUCCUGCUGGAAACACCACUCCUCAGAGUUGGGGAACAUUGUCAAAGCAGAAGGAAGCAAGAUUUCUUCCAGGACAACUUUGUGAUUCAAUGGGUCAUUCACAAAGACAAAUCUGCCCAAUUCCAGCCUUGCUGAAGAACCCCCAGAUCACCACCGAUCCUCCACCAAAUUUCACAGUAGGUGCUUGACACUGGCUUGUAGGCCUCUCCAGGUCUCCGUCUAGCCAUUAGAUUACCAGGUGUUGGGCAAAGCUGAACAUUUGACUCAUCGGAGAAGAUGACCUUACUCCAGUCCUCUAUGGUCCAAUCCUUAUGGUCUUUUGCAAACCUCAGCCUGGCUCUUCUUUGCUUCUUGUUGAUGAAGGGCUUUUUUCUAGCUUUGCACGACUUCAGCCUUGACCAGCCUGUUUCUAACCAUCCUAGCCAUGCACUUCACCCCAGCUGCCGUUUGCCAUUCUUUUUGGAGGUCACUUGAUGUCAUCCUAUGGUUGUUGAGUGACAUUCAAAUGAAUUGGCGGUCAUCUCGGGUUUGGGAAGAGUAAUUUUCGUCCUCUGCCGGAUUGUAGCUUUGUUGUCCAUAAUGUCUGCUGCUUCACCUUGUUCUUAUGAACCGCCGUCUUUGACAUUUUAAGGAUGGAAGCAACCUGACGCUCACUGUAUCCCUCUGCCAGGAAAACCAGAAUUCAACCCUUCUUUUCCUCACUCAAAACUUUUCUUUGUAACUCUUUUGGCAUGGUCAAGACACUUUUUUUAUUCCAAUUACUUUUGAGGUACUUCUAGCACUGUUUCUGCCAUCCAGCUGGUCCUAUUGCAAGAGGAUAGUGACGACCACAGCACUGUUUUUUUUUAAUACUUUUCUGCAUUAAAUAAGAUUUGGUUCAGGUGAUCACCUAAUCAGUACCUCAUUAAGUAGAAUCAGGUGUGCCUGUAUUGGAAUUCAACAGACACUGGAAUGGAAUGGCUGCCAUACACAUAGAGAUGCUGUUUUAAGAAAAAUUUGCAGUUGUGGUCUUUUAGACUAAGGGAGAAGAAGAGAUGCCGCGCUACACCAGUGCAUUUCCAGAUCUCUUUUCUUGGCCACAACGGAAUACAGAGAAAGAUUUACAUCCAUCAACAUAAAGAUCCUCCAAUGUUUUAUGCUUUUUCCCACUGGUCACUGCUGCUGUUGCGUUUUACACAUCCGUUUCUUUCCCUGUCUCUGGGAUAUCCCAUAUCGUCAGUAUAUUUACACAUACAUUCACCAGUGGUCUCGUGUUACGCAAAUGAUCUAAUGCUCAGCUAAUAGGCUUUCACUCACCUGUUUGAUUCUGACGGGGUUCUGGAUGCAUGGACUGCACCAAAUAGCCUUCAGGUUGUUCCCAAGACAAUAGCAUGGCAAAAAUGCCAUGUAAAGGAUUUUAAUCUAACCUAAUUAAUGUUGAAUACUUGAGAAGAAUCUAAUAAGCUGUUGCAGUAAAGGUUAAGAUCAUUCUUUCGCAUAACCACACAAUACGUAGGCUAUACUAUUGGGGAAAGGAGUAAACGUAGCCUUCUAAGAAAACCCAAGUUUCCAUUUGAAAAACUUUAUUUCCAUAGAAAAUAGAACUGAUCUCUUCUGCUUCCACAAGUCACACACAGCAAGUGUCAGAAUGUCUGCUGAAACAUUUAAACUUUCAGCAAGAACAUUUUCGUUUCAGUUCCUAGCUCAGAAGUUGCACAUAUAUUACAUAGACGAAUUUGUUCCCCUUUUAAUAUGUGUCACAUGUUCACGUUCUAGGCCUAAGUAAAUUCUUCAGAUUGGAUUUGAGAUGGGUAAUAUUGAUUUCGACAAAAUAAUAUGUAAAUUUUUCAUGGAAUCUAAGUGAGCAAAACACACGUGAGCUCAAAAAUCAAACACCCUGACAAACAAUAUUAUAGUUAGUUCGAAGGGAUGUGGCAAGGGGAUUUUAAACCAGGCAUAACAAGCUACAUUUAUGUGUCAAACUAAUUUAAUUGUUUUGAACAACAGAAUAAGCAAUAAGGUUUAUUCCUGGUGAAUGCAAUAUUUCCAUUUUACAUUUGUGGGAUAUUUUAAUAUGAGUAAGGGAUUUGCCCGGUAACCCAUUUAAUUAGUUUGAGGGUUAUUCACACAUAGUAUACAAGAUGAUUUCAAAUAAGGGGGUUGACCUAAGGGAAAUAAUGGGUGGGUCAUUAGGUACAGUUUAAGCCUUCUGAUUGGAUAAGGUCAGAUGAGAGGUCAGAGGUUUCAUUUGUAAAAAGGGGUUAGCCAACUAGGGCGGUUGUGGGAGGUGUUAGGUAACUGUUUAAAUAUGUUGGCGCGAGUGUAUCUGGCAGAUCUUUUCCUGGAAAUUCAUCUCUUUAUUGUGGCCUAAUUACUACAGUAAAUCUGUUGCAACAACACGUCCUGGGUUUAAGUCUCUGAUUGUGAAAGUUGUAAAAUACUUGAAAUUAGCCACGACACGUUGUAAUCUCGUCUGAUGCAUUCCGUUUAAAGGAUUUGCUGACAAUGCUAGUGGCAGGUUUUGACCAAAUCUUUCACUGAUUACCUUCGACCUGGAUCUGCGUAUUUAAUGCCUUUACUGCUCGCUCCUUUUUUAUGCAACAGGGCACAACAUGUGCUACCUGUGAAACUGGACAUUUAAAGGCAUGUUGAAAUAUGGAGAAAAAAUGUCAACGUCAUCAAGAGCAACCAUCAGCUUUUAGUGACUCCUGAAAACAAAUGAGCAAAGUCUUAACUCCAUUUUGCAGCGGUGUUCAGAAUUUAAACCGGGGAGUAACACAGAGGUUUUAAGUGCUAGACAGAUACAAGUGCUAAACAGAUACAUCUUGUAAAUACAAGAUUAUCUGGGAGAGGUAGGAAACUGUUACAAAUUAGAAGUAGACUAACAUGUUCAUACGAUAAGAUUGUCGAAAAAGAUCAUGUGACAAACUAAGUUACAACAUUUUCGCAGUUGUGCGUGUAGGGCUCUCUAGAAAUGUGCUUAUUGCGAGAGUCCUACUAGGCCGUAAGGUGAACACUGUUUUCGUUUCAACCCGCUCCACAGUCGCGCAUCUACACAAUCUUUAGCUCAUAAAAAAGAUUGAGUCGUGCUUAGCUACCAAAAAAAAGUUCGUCGCUGACUUUCCAGUCAAUUUUUGGUGUGUCUAUGUUUUAUGCCGAACUAGUUUCUUCAGAGCGCACAAGGAUCUUGGUCGCGAGUGCUGGCACUUUUCGACACGUGAUCAUGCUACACCAAUAAGGUAGCUGCUUUUUGUCAACAGAGUUGCAAGAUGGCGUCCACCUUGCCUUCAUCGAGUAGUACGGCAGACGAAGAAAAUACACCGGAAUGUCUUAAUAAAUCAAAAAACAAACAUUGUUUUAUGCAUAUUACUUCAGUCA